GACGAACGCUGGCGGCGUGCUUAACACAUGCAAGUCGAACGGAAAGGCCCUGCUUUUGUGGGGUGCUCGAGUGGCGAACGGGUGAGUAACACGUGAGUAACCUGCCCUUGACUUUGGGAUAACUUCAGGAAACUGGGGCUAAUACCGGAUAGGAGCUCCUGCUGCAUGGUGGGGGUUGGAAAGUUUCGGCGGUUGGGGAUGGACUCGCGGCUUAUCAGCUUGUUGGUGGGGUAGUGGCUUACCAAGGCUUUGACGGGUAGCCGGCCUGAGAGCGUGAACGGCCACAUUGGGACUGAGAUACGGCCCAGACUGCUACGGGAGGCAGCAGUGGGGAAUAUGGCACAAUGGGCGGAAGCCUGAUGCAGCAACGCCGCGUGCGGGAUGACGGCCUUCGGGUUGUAAACCGCUUUCGCCUGUGACGAAGCGUGAGUGACGGUAAUGGGUAAAGAAGCACCGGCUAACUACGUG
RNAcentral lists this ribosomal RNA (468 nucleotides) under uncultured bacterium. RNAcentral's name for it is "partial 16S ribosomal RNA". It matches the Rfam family "Bacterial small subunit ribosomal RNA", at positions 28 to 507 of the family's 1533-position model. The record is from RNAcentral.